Molecule: ribosomal RNA, 494 nt
Filed under: uncultured bacterium
Lineage: Bacteria
Description: partial 16S ribosomal RNA
Rfam family: Bacterial small subunit ribosomal RNA
Source: RNAcentral
GACGAACGCUGGCGGCGCGCUUAACACAUGCAAGUCGAACGGAAAGGCCUGCUUUCCCUUGUGGAUUGCGGGUACUCGAGUGGCGAACGGGUGAGUAACACGUGAGUGAUCUGCCCCCAACUUGGGUAUAAGCCUGGGAAACUGGGUCUAAUUCCCGAUAGGACUGCAGGGUGGUGCCUGUGGUGGAAAACGAUUUUCUAGUGGUUGGGGAUGAGCUCGCGGCCUAUCAGCUUGUUGGUGGGGUAAUGGCCUACCAAGGCGGCGACGGGUAGCCGGCCUGAGAGGGGGGACGGCCACAUUGGGACUGAGAUACGGCCCAGACUCCUACGGGAGGCAGCAGUGGGGAAUAGUGCACAAUGGGCGGAAGCCUGAUGCAGCGACGCCGCGUGGGGGAUGACGGCCUUCGGGUUGUAAACUCCUUUCGACCGCGAGGAAGCCACCUGGUUGGAAGGGUGGUGACGGUAGUGGUAGAAGAAGCACCGGCUAACUACGUG